UUGAACAGCAGUUAUGUAGAGUUCAUGACGUAGCGCGAGUGACGAAGUGGAACGUUUAUCCAGUAUACAGGUCAUAACACAUUUCAAUAUUUCUCGUAGCAUUAAUACGAUGACAUGAGACAUUUAUUUAACCAGUUUAAAUAUAUCAUUAUAUGCCUGAAUGCAUAAUCAUCUGUUAUUUUGUUGCAUGGAUUAUAAGCGGACUUUAUAACAUAAAUAGAGUAAAAAGUGGAGCAUAAGAGAUGGAAUCUGCGACACAUACCAAUAUCGGAACCCCUGAUGACGCUUUGAGACAAAUGCACCGUUUUAGGCUUCCCAUCCAAGUCACCGAUGACAGAGAGGAUGAAAUCCCUACAGAGCAACUAACGGAUCGUAGUGGACAAAUGCAUUCAGACACACGACACGAGCAAAAUAAUAACCGCAUUAAUUUUGAGAGAGCCAAAUAUCCAGAGUUCGAGGAGAUACAAUACAGAUUGGAAUCAUACCGCGGAGUAGCACU
Dreissena polymorpha is the source of this 499-nucleotide long non-coding RNA. RefSeq lists it as uncharacterized. Lineage: Eukaryota; Metazoa; Mollusca; Bivalvia; Myida; Dreissenidae. The transcript has 4 exons. The record is from RefSeq and is a predicted model, not a curated record.